CUGUGCCACGCGUACACUUGGGUUCUACGCGCGCCGUCCACCCCCCACCUGACGACGGCUCGCUACGUGUGUUAGCU
This 77-nucleotide small RNA is filed under the name Xanthomonas oryzae pv. oryzicola. RNAcentral describes it as "sX9 sRNA". It matches the Rfam family "Xanthomonas sRNA sX9". The record is from RNAcentral. Lineage: Bacteria; Pseudomonadati; Pseudomonadota; Gammaproteobacteria; Lysobacterales; Lysobacteraceae.